RNAcentral lists this ribosomal RNA (402 nucleotides) under uncultured bacterium. RNAcentral describes it as "bacterial SSU rRNA". It matches the Rfam family "Bacterial small subunit ribosomal RNA", at positions 28 to 429 of the family's 1533-position model. The record is from RNAcentral.
GACGAACGCUGGCGGCGUGCUUAACACAUGCAAGUCGAGCGGUAAGGCCCUUUCGGGGGUACGACGAGCGGCGAACGGGUAGAGUAACACGUGGGUGACCUGCCCUCAGCUCUGGGAGUAAGCCUGGGAAACGUGGGUCGUAAUACCGGAUAUGACUCCAUGACGCAUGUUGUGGGGUGGAAAGCCUUGUGCGGCUGAGGAUGGGCCCGCGGCCUAUCAGCUUGUUGGUGGGGUGAGGCCUACCAAGGCGACGACGGGUAGCCGGCCUGAGAGGGCGACCGGCCACACUGGGACUGAGACACGGCCCAGACUCCUACGGGAGGCAGCAGUGGGGAAGUCUUGCGCAAUGGGCGAAAGCCUGACGCAGCGACGCCGCGUGAGGGAUGACGGCCUCGGUGUAAC